UAGCCCAGUCGUGGGGGAGUAACGCAGCGAAAGCUGUGCUAAUACCGCAUACGAUCUAUGGAUGAAAGCGGGGGACUCGCAAGGGCCUCGCGCGAUUGGAGCGGCCGAUGGCAGAUUAGGUAGUUGGUGGGGUAAAGGCUCACCAAGCCUGCGAUCUGUAGCUGGUCUGAGAGGACGACCAGCCACACUGGGACUGAGACACGGCCCAG
This 209-nucleotide ribosomal RNA is filed under the name uncultured bacterium. Its description in RNAcentral is "partial 16S ribosomal RNA". It matches the Rfam family "Bacterial small subunit ribosomal RNA", at positions 126 to 334 of the family's 1533-position model. The record is from RNAcentral.